UACGUAGGUGACCAGCGUUGUCCGGAUUUACUGGGCGUAAAGAGCGCGCAGGCGGUCGUUCAAGUCGAGUGUGAAAGUCCCCGGCUCAACUGGGGAGGGUCAUUCGAUACUGAUCGACUUGAAGGCAGGAGAGGGAAGUGGAAUUCCCGGUGUAGUGGUGAAAUGCGUAGAUAUCGGGAGGAACACCAGUGGCGAAGGCGACUUCCUGGCCUGUUCUUGACGCUGAGGCGCGAAAGCUAGGGGAGCAAACGGG
Molecule: ribosomal RNA, 253 nt
Filed under: uncultured bacterium
Lineage: Bacteria
Description: partial 16S ribosomal RNA
Rfam family: Bacterial small subunit ribosomal RNA
Source: RNAcentral